RNAcentral lists this ribosomal RNA (453 nucleotides) under uncultured bacterium. RNAcentral's name for it is "bacterial SSU rRNA". It matches the Rfam family "Bacterial small subunit ribosomal RNA", at positions 340 to 784 of the family's 1533-position model. The record is from RNAcentral.
UACGGAAGGCAGCAGUGGGGAAUAUUGCACAAUGGGCGCAAGCCUGAUGCAGCCAUGCCGCGUGUAUGAAGAAGGCCUUCGGGUUGUAAAGUACUUUCAGUCGUGAGGAAGGUGUUAAGGUUAAUAACCUUAGCAAUUGACGUUAGCGACAGAAGAAGCACCGGCUAACUCCGUGCCAGCAGCCGCGGUAAUACGGAGGGUGCGAGCGUUAAUCGGAAUUACUGGGCGUAAAGGGCACGCAGGCGGUUAAUUAAGUUGGAUGUGAAAUCCCCGGGCUUAACCUGGGAAUGGCAUUCAAGACUGGUUAGCUAGAGUCUUGUAGAGGGGGUAGAAUUCCAUGUGUAGCGGUGAAAUGCGUAGAGAUGUGGAGGAAUACCGGUGGCGAAGGCGGCCCCUGGGACAAAGACUGACGCUCAUGUGCGAAAGCGUGGGGAGCAAACGAGGGAUUAGAUA